GUGCUUGCUUCUAAAAGCACAUAUAUUAACACUGUAACAAUAUGGAGAAGAUUAGCCCGACCCCUGGGCAAGGAAGGCACAUACAUUCAUGAAGUGUUCCAUAUUUUA
Small nuclear RNA from Echinops telfairi (small Madagascar hedgehog), 108 nucleotides. The record is from RefSeq and is a predicted model, not a curated record. Lineage: Eukaryota; Metazoa; Chordata; Mammalia; Afrosoricida; Tenrecidae.